CAAAUAUUUCAUUGAACUCUGAAGCCUGAACAGCCUAUUAGCCCAAAUUGCCACCCUAAUGAAAGAAGAUACCUAGAAUUAAAUAAUUUUCCUAAUAGGAAAAAAGAAAGAAAAGAAAGGAAAAAGCUAUCAUUUGUGCUGAGCAGUAACUGACUUGCAAUAGAUUGGAAACAGAAUAUUUACAGGUAAGCAAAGCCUGCAAAAAAAAUUUGUAAGUACGUUUCAAAAAGAUCAAAUUUUUUCCCUUAUCUCAGCAAUGGGAACAAAGAUGACAGACUCUUGAUGUAACUGGUUUUUAUUUGACUUCCUAGACUUGCCAAUUUGUAGUCCCAGCAAUGUCUGCUUCAUAUUCUCUAGCCUAACCUUGGCUCUACAAAGUCUCUCCAUCUCAGCCUCAGCCACUUGAGACAAAGUCACUGAAAUGGAGUUGUUCCUCUUCUUCCCUCUCUUCGUUUUUGAUUUUAACAGCUUCUUUAAACUCACAUCAUCACUGUACUCAACACUGAUCUUAUUGCUUUUAGAAGGUGAUCCAAUGGAAGCUCUUUUCCGUUCAUUUUUCUCCAAACUGCUGCUUAGAGACUUUGGUUCCUUCCUUUGGAGGACCUGUUGCGAAUUCUUUGGGGAACAUAUACUAGUUUCCAUCGAGGCAUUAUUUAAUUCCACUAUAUCAGCAGUUUUAUCCUUCAUAUUAUCUAAUCUGGGCAUGGAGAUUUUGCGACUAGAAUUGCGAAGCUCUUUUGCUCUCCCUGCCUUCCUAGAUUUUAGAGCCAAGUAUCGUGCAUUCUUGAACCAUUUGCUGACCUUCCCAGGGUCAAGACCCAAUUCUUUUGAAAGGUUUUCCUUGACAGUUCUAGAGGGAAGUUCAUUCUCUGCAAAAACCUGGCGAAGUUUCUCAACUGCAGAAGGGGGGAUUCUGAAAAAUGGCCUUCUAACUUGUGAGUCUCGAGAAAGUUUCCUCUUCACGUCAAUGGUUUCAACUUUUUUACAUUUUUUCUCACUUUCAUACAAUGUCAUAAGUGUGCUGGCUGCAUCUGACUCCUUUUCUCUCCGCUUUCUUUUUCCGGGACCCCAGUCUUCAUCUUCACUAACUUGCUCAUAUGCUGGAGCAUCCUUUCCAAACAUCUCAUCAUAUAACUUCUUAUAGUCGACUGCUCUUCGCUUUCUAGGGCCACACAUAAUUUCCUCAUCACUGGUUUCAUCAGAAUCUAAACUGCUAUAAAUAGAUUGGUUUCUAAAAUCUGUGCUUUCCAUCUCCCACUUUCUAGAUCCUGAAAAAACCUCACCGUCAGAUGACCAACCCAAGCUGAUUGAACUGCUUGCAUCAUCAGAGGCAUCAUCAUCAGUGCCUGCUCCACUGAUGCUGUUCUCCCUCCGUUCAGGAUCAUAAUCAUCAUCUUCAGAAUCAUCUGAAGGCCAUUCUUGUUCUGGAUUCAACAACAUACUUCCACCAUCAGAAAAAUUUGCUGCUUCUUUGAAUAUAUCCUGCCAACAGCCACUCACUGAGAACUGGGUUCCCAGAUGUGCAUUCAUAGCUUCUAUAAUUUCCAUCCUACAUUCACAAAACUUGCAAAACCAUCCCUGAUCUCCUGGUGGUAUAUUUGCAGUGUCCAGUGGAGGAUCUAGGCAUUUUUGAUGGAAGGCACAGUUGCAAGUCCCAUCACAGAGAACAAUAUCAUUAUCUGGGAAAACUUCAUUGGAUUUGCACUUUGCGCAGAAUAUAUGUUCAUGGGAAACAGAUCCAUCAGGUGCCAUAACCGAGUCUUCAAUACAACCCACUCUACUAAGUGAAUCCAGCUGAUGAAUUGUAUCGCGUAUGCCAAGCUUACACUUCAAAAUCUGUUUCUUGGCUCUUAGCAGUUCCUUUUCUGGUUUGAUCUUCUCUCGACUUUGACCUUUCCAACCUUCCCCAGAGUAAGCAUCAAUGAGGUUCUGUUCCAGCUUCAUUUUAAUCAGCAAGUAUCUUGCUCUCCUUUGCAAGCGUGAUGGUUCAUCUAGUUCCGCCUUCUCCUUUCGUCUUCUCUUAUUCUUCUUCUUGUUAAGGUUUUUAAAUGUGACUUCCCUGUUGGCAUUUUUCCCAUUCUCCUCAGAAGCAAUAACAGAAGAAUGUUUGCCUCGUGGCUUUGAAGAAGCCAGCUUCUUAGGCUCAUGAGCUUUUUUUAAGAUUUUUCUACUGAUCAAUUUUUUACUUGUAGAAUCAUUCCUGAUCCCCUUGCUCGAAGGGUCAGUAACUGUGCUCUUCAGCAAAUUUGCACCAACAGCUUUCAAAUGAGAUUUUGAUUUUGAUUUUGGUUUAUGUUUUUUGCAAUGAGAUAUUUUGCUGUCUUUUUUUAACUUUAAUGAUGCAAUUAACAUAGACCCAUUCUCUGUCUUUGAGAAAGAAGAUUUGCCAGACUCUUGAUGCAUCACCUUCUUUCCAGCACCCCGCAUAUUGAUCUGAGUAAUGGAAGAAAGACACUGAGAAGAUCUUGAAAUUUAAGAGUUCUACAAAACUCUGCACUAUGCAGCAAUACUAUACGAUUGUGUGUUGCAGAUAUAAAAGUAUAUAUGAUUGAUUUUUGAGGUAAAAUGGCUCCAAAAAAUUUUGAAAUAUUAAAGAAGAAGAAGAAGGAAGCAGCAGAUUGAAUGAUUUGACAAAGGCCGUGGUUCUACUCGCAGCGCCACCCAACGGUUUUGCUGCGCCUGCUCGUAAAUCGUAGUUGGAAUUUUUUGUCCGAUAAAAU
RNAcentral lists this unclassified non-coding RNA (2720 nucleotides) under Hevea brasiliensis (rubber tree). Lineage: Eukaryota; Viridiplantae; Streptophyta; Magnoliopsida; Malpighiales; Euphorbiaceae. The record is from RNAcentral.